CCCUGUUGAGCUUGACUCUAGUCUGGCAUUGUGAAAAGACAUAGGAGGUGUAGAAUAGGUGGGAGCUUCGGCGCCGGUGAAAUACCACUACUCCUAUUGUUUUUUUACUUAUUCAAUGAAGCGGGGCUGGAUUUACGUCCAACUUCUGGUUUUAAGGACCUUCGCGGGCCGACGCGGGUUGCACAAAUUGGCAAGUGUUUAGUGAGCCUGGGG
This 213-nucleotide ribosomal RNA is filed under the name uncultured organism. RNAcentral's name for it is "partial 28S ribosomal RNA". It matches the Rfam family "Eukaryotic large subunit ribosomal RNA", at positions 2411 to 2630 of the family's 3401-position model. The record is from RNAcentral.